This 874-nucleotide ribosomal RNA is filed under the name Enterococcus faecium. Its description in RNAcentral is "bacterial SSU rRNA". It matches the Rfam family "Bacterial small subunit ribosomal RNA", at positions 28 to 872 of the family's 1533-position model. Lineage: Bacteria; Bacillati; Bacillota; Bacilli; Lactobacillales; Enterococcaceae. The record is from RNAcentral.
GACGAACGCUGGCGGCGUGCCUAAUACAUGCAAGUCGAACGCUUCUUUUUCCACCGGAGCUUGCUCCACCGGAAAAAGAGGAGUGGCGAACGGGUGAGUAACACGUGGGUAACCUGCCCAUCAGAAGGGGAUAACACUUGGAAACAGGUGCUAAUACCGUAUAACAAUCAAAACCGCAUGGUUUUGAUUUGAAAGGCGCUUUCGGGUGUCGCUGAUGGAUGGACCCGCGGUGCAUUAGCUAGUUGGUGAGGUAACGGCUCACCAAGGCCACGAUGCAUAGCCGACCUGAGAGGGUGAUCGGCCACAUUGGGACUGAGACACGGCCCAAACUCCUACGGGAGGCAGCAGUAGGGAAUCUUCGGCAAUGGACGAAAGUCUGACCGAGCAACGCCGCGUGAGUGAAGAAGGUUUUCGGAUCGUAAAACUCUGUUGUUAGAGAAGAACAAGGAUGAGAGUAACUGUUCAUCCCUUGACGGUAUCUAACCAGAAAGCCACGGCUAACUACGUGCCAGCAGCCGCGGUAAUACGUAGGUGGCAAGCGUUGUCCGGAUUUAUUGGGCGUAAAGCGAGCGCAGGCGGUUUCUUAAGUCUGAUGUGAAAGCCCCCGGCUCAACCGGGGAGGGUCAUUGGAAACUGGGAGACUUGAGUGCAGAAGAGGAGAGUGGAAUUCCAUGUGUAGCGGUGAAAUGCGUAGAUAUAUGGAGGAACACCAGUGGCGAAGGCGGCUCUCUGGUCUGUAACUGACGCUGAGGCUCGAAAGCGUGGGGAGCAAACAGGAUUAGAUACCCUGGUAGUCCACGCCGUAAACGAUGAGUGCUAAGUGUUGGAGGGUUUCCGCCCUUCAGUGCUGCAGCUAACGCAUUAAGCACUCCGC